RNAcentral lists this transfer RNA (69 nucleotides) under Dipodomys ordii (Ord's kangaroo rat). It matches the Rfam family "tRNA". From Rfam's summary of the family: Transfer RNA (tRNA) molecules are approximately 80 nucleotides in length. The record is from Rfam by way of RNAcentral. Lineage: Eukaryota; Metazoa; Chordata; Mammalia; Rodentia; Heteromyidae.
GGGAAUAUGGCUUAGUGGUAGAGCGCUUGCCUAGCAUACAUGAAGCCCUGGGUUCUACUCCUUGUACCA